Molecule: long non-coding RNA, 3586 nt
Filed under: Pelobates cultripes (western spadefoot toad)
Lineage: Eukaryota; Metazoa; Chordata; Amphibia; Anura; Pelobatidae
Source: RNAcentral
UAUUGCCAUUUAUAUAGCGCCAACAGAUUCCGUAGCGCUUUACAAUAUAUACUAAUAGUUCUCAUUUGCAUUUUCUUUAAUAGGCCUUUGUGGAUUUCUUUUCAAGAGGUCUCCACACAGAAUACCAGUCAAAAGGAAUCACUGUUCAGGUAUGGAGCAAGGCAAAUAGCAAAAAGCAGGCCAUAUUAUUUUGCAAAAAGUGUCUGCUACCAGAUUUGCUCGCGUAAAUUCAGCUGAAAUUUGGUGUUCGAUAAAUAUGCAAAUCCUAUAUGCGUAUUAAUUCUUUUGAAAUAACUGAAAUUCAAACAGAGUUAUCAUUAGUAAAUUUGAAAAUUGCAAAUUUAGUUGAAAUUCAGUGAUUUUUAAAAAUUUAAUAUUGAGUAAUAUGUCACCUAAAGGAUUUUGAGAUUAGUUUGGAAAUUAGACAGAGGCAAAUUUCAUAUAGAGAGGGCCCUGGUGCUAGAAAGUAUUGGGGGAUGGCUCUAGAACAAAGGUGGCCAAAAGGUAAAUCCACAAUGCAUGGAUCUGCCAUUUGCCCAUCCUUGCAGGGCUGUAUCUGUGAGCAGUGUCGGUAUGUUGGAACGUAAGCAUUAUUUAUUGAUUUAUAAAAUAUUUUACCAGGAAAGACACAUUGAAAUUUCUCUCGUUUUCAGGUUUUGUAUGGACUAUGUGUGAAUGUAGGGGUGUAUUUGGGGGAUAGUAUUGCAGUUGUCUGUUUGUAUUUAUUGUUGCUACUUGUAUGCCGGGGUGUGUGUGUUGCCAUUUGAAUGUAGAUGUGUGCUUGUAUGUAGUGUAUUUGAAUGUAGGAGUGUGCUUGUAUGUAGUGUUGGUGUUUGAAUAUAAGGGGCAUUUGAAUAUAAGGGUGUAUUUGUGUGUAUUGUUGACAUUUGAAUUCAAGGGUGUUUAUGUGCAUAGUAUGGGUGUUUGAAUGUGAAGAGGUAUAUACAGAUACACUGCCACACGUCAUGAUUUACAUAAUUUUAGCCACCUACCUGUUUGCCUAAGUUUUGGGUGCAGGAGCAUUGAUUGGCUGAGGUCUAAUGGGAUCUGGCUACAGCACAAGCUAUUUUAGGCAGCUAGGAGUCUCGGGCUGGUCCAGGCUCUCCCAUUUCUUCUCUCUCUCCUCCUCUCUGUUCCUGUGCGACUCUCUAGAAGCUGGGAGGAAGAAACCUGAACCCAUUUCUCUCAGCACAACAACCUUAGUACCAAUAUGACACUGGCCCAGUCACACUAGACCAGGCCACUGAUCAGACAUGCCUAUCAGUGGCCCUAAGUGUGAGGGCCACUCGAUGCCCCCCAUUGGUUGUAUCACCACUGCUAUUAGAACAGGUUGGUAGACUUGGUUAUAGAUGGAGUAGCAAAUAGAUAUAUGUUCAUGUUCUCCAACUCCUAAAUCCUGUUCUUUUCUUCCAGUGUGUGAUGCCGUUAUUUGUCUCAACACCAAUGACUUCUCGUAUGAAAACAAAUAUCUUUGUAAAGUCUGCUGAUGACUUUGCCCGGGAGGCUCUAAACACUGUGGGUUACACAAACAGAACCAGCGGCUGUCUCUCUCACUCCCUUCAGGUAUAUAUUUUGGCAAUCGUCUAGCAACUCACCAUUAAGGCUAUUGCUAUUCAUCUUCACAUGUUCUAUCAUAGGGAGAUUUUGGCACGGUGUCUCAUCUGGAGCAAUUUCCUAUACAAUAGAACGUUUACUUUGAGAAAUGAACGACAUGUAGUUAUGUUUUGUAUAGGCAGAGUUUAGUGGGGAGAAACAGUUGUAUAGUUGGAAACGAGAGAUACACUAGUGGCAAAAUCCAGGAAAAAAAUCAGGUAAGCUUUAUCACAUGUUGUACUGGACACCAAAUGAAUUUAUUAGGUGGCCAAUAUAGGGCGGUGUAAAAUUAGAACAGAAAGGAGCCAAGGAUAGAACCAACUGAAGACAGACAACAAGGUGAAUGUUAUGAAGAGUAAUAUUAUGAUGUAGCUGUUCCUCUAUGCCAGAAGCAGCAGAAAUGGUAAAAUAGUUUAUAUACAGUAGUGAUUGUAUUUAUGUGAUCUUUGUGUGUAAUAUGCCCUAUUGGGCAUUAUGGAUAAGGUACCUGCGCUCUGUUUGUAGAAUGACCUGUAAUCUGCAAUCCAGAGCUGGGCAAAGCUACCGGAGCUGACUUCCACCACACAUUCUCACAUCAGAGGGGAGUGGUGCAGUGCAAUCACAUGCUACUGUACUGCUAGAAAAGACUGUGAUUGGACCCAUGCUGAUUCAGAGCGCAAGCGAGUGCCACGGAACGGCAAAGUGAUGGAGUGGUGGUAGAGGAGAGAUGGAGUGUUUUAAAAAAACCUAAAUGCUGCCUGCAAUGGAGGGAGGUGGGAGGUAGCACCCGCUGGGUGAGAGGGGAUUGCUAUCUCAAACUUGCAUGGUGCACCUUGCCUACACAGAGAAGAUUUUUUUCAUCUGUUGCCAGGGUGCAGUGCGUGAUGUUGAGACAUAAUCUAUGCACAAAUUUACAUUAGACAGCCUGAAACAUUUUUUUUUAAAAUAAAAUAUAUAUAUAUAUUUUUUAAUUUAUACUGUCCUAUUGAGCACUACGAAGCAUGUCCACCGUCGAUUUUUAGCCACCUGUAAAAAAAAAAAAAAAUUUACUUUUUUAGAGUUUCCACACCCUAUACGACAUCACAAGGUAUCACUUAUUUUCCCCUCCGUAGUCUAAUCAAAUGCACAAAGAGAAUGAAUAGAGGGAUGGAGGGGGAUCUAGGCUUCCCUUUGCAGGCAAACUCCCUGCCUGCAAGGGCAGAAUCUCAGUGUACACUGAUGACAAAGGAAAAUGUUGCACAGAGGCAGCAUGGAUCAGAGUAUUAGGCAGCCUGGAACAGAGUCCCUAAGUCAUGUAUGCUGGGGGUGUAACAAGCCACCAGUACAAAAGUGCAAAUAUCAAGCUGAAACACUGCACAAACAAAUCCUACCACCCUGGCCACUUCCGAAAGAAGAAGAGGUGGUUGGAGUAAACGUUUAACUAUGACAACUUCAAGAUUACAUUUAUUUGCCAGUUUACUAUUAACCCUUUAAAAUUGUUGAUGCAAUUGCAUUAUCCUUUUUAAACUCCAAUGAACAAAGGAGAAAAAAAACCUAUGCCUCAGUGUAUGUAAUGUCAGUAGCCUACCAGAAAUGGGCAUUUUACAGGUGUACAAAUUACCUCUCAGCAUUCCACGCAGUAGAAGGUAUUUUAAGCUCCUUCUGUGCAGAAUGCCUUUGACACACAGAAUAACAGGAUUGUUAAAAAAAAAAAAAAAUGGUUUAAGAUUAUAAAUGGAAGUCGUUGGCUUAAUUUUCUGCCCGGUUAGCUAAAAACAUUGCCAUUAUUAACUUUACAGUGAAACACUUUAUCAGGUAAUGGCCACAAUUCAUUUAUUUUUAAUCUAUUUCAUAGAGCUAUGCCUUGGAAUUACUACUCCCUGAUCCCGUGUUUAAGGCUUUUUUGUCAAUGAAAAUUGUGACAGAUUACUUUGAGCAUCUAAUGAACCCGGACAAGAAGAAGAAGCAAAAAUGAACAAUCAAUGUGACUAUAACACAAGAAAUAAUUAUUGAUGAAAAGAAAUAAAAUAAAAAA